This 74-nucleotide transfer RNA is filed under the name Bacteroidota bacterium. Its description in RNAcentral is "tRNA-Arg". It matches the Rfam family "tRNA". Rfam says of the family: Transfer RNA (tRNA) molecules are approximately 80 nucleotides in length. Their secondary structure includes four short double-helical elements and three loops (D, anti-codon, and T loops). Further hydrogen bonds mediate the characteristic L-shaped molecular structure. tRNAs have two regions of fundamental functional importance: the anti-codon, which is responsible for specific mRNA codon recognition, and the 3' end, to which the tRNAs corresponding amino acid is attached (by aminoacyl-tRNA synthetases). tRNAs cope with the degeneracy of the genetic code in two manners: having more than one tRNA (with a specific anti-codon) for a particular amino acid; and 'wobble' base-pairing, i.e. permitting non-standard base-pairing at the 3rd anti-codon position. The record is from RNAcentral. RNAcentral also lists the same sequence under 2 other names. Lineage: Bacteria; Pseudomonadati; Bacteroidota.
GCGCCUGUAGCUCAAUUGGAUAGAGCGUUAGCCUCCGGAGCUAAAGGCUUCGGGUUCGAGUCCCGACAGGCGCA